UGAUUCAGUGCUACUGACAUUGUAAUUUUUUAAUGCUAGCAGUUCCAAAACACUAAGUGCUGUAUGUACACUGUUGCGCAGAUUACUCUUAAACUAUCAGUAACUAACAUAAUACAUUUCUAGCAAAAUGGAUAUAAAAGGAAAAAAAGCGAAAUGUAGAAAUUAAGAUACAUUUCGUUGGCUCCCACAGAUGCUGUGGAUCGAUUUCCCCAUUUCUUUUUCUGCAGCUAGUUUUUCUCUCGAGUGCCGCACAGUUGAAGUACAGCCGGCUGAAUUUCACAAAGGAGAUGCUACCACCCCUUACUGGAGAGCGCCUGACAUUGCGACUGCCAGAAGUAGCAGGAACAUGCGUUGUGCCUUAAAAUCAGUGCCUGGCUGAUCGCUUAAACCUUCUACCUGUGCUUGUGGGUGUGAUUUGGACUGCACUAAGAGAAACACAGGUUCUGCUUCAGCUCCACAGACCAGCCCUACUUGAACAGAAGGUAAAGGUGCCCAGCGAGAAGCACCCAGAUACUACAAAAGUUACAAAGCGGUCUGACUAUUCUGUUCAUUCUGUUCCUUCCAGUACUGCGAAGGGAAAAACAGGUGAUCAAUCUUCAUGAUCCGUUCCGUGGCGAGCUGGGAAAAAAAAAUGCAGUUGCUAAUCAAUGUCUGAACAGUCUGAAGCUCCGGAAGAGAUCCAAGGAGUCACUAUCAAACUAUCCUGUAGCAUGAGAUCAUU
Molecule: long non-coding RNA, 721 nt
Organism: Cygnus olor (mute swan)
Lineage: Eukaryota; Metazoa; Chordata; Aves; Anseriformes; Anatidae
Exons: 4
Source: RefSeq, a predicted model, not a curated record